UGUGUGAUUUUUGUUCUUUAGUAGAAGGAUAACAUGACAUAGCAGGAAUAAUACUGCCUUUUCUUUCUGGCAUGGAUCAAGAGAAAAGAAAAUACAAGAAAACAGACAGAAGCAAGGCAAGGUACUUCUAUGGAAGGGUGAGCCCUCACAGAUGGAGCAAUGGGGCGCGCACACCUGAACAAGGGAGGGGAAGGAGUUCUUAUCCCUGAUGCAUGUGACCCCUGCUGCUGUGUCCUUCCCCUAUUGGCUAAGGCUUCUGACAGCUUUGGAGAUUGUGACAUUGGAAUAAAGGAAAAACGUACAGGACUCAUGAAGCGCUGAAAUGUUCACAAAUAUCAAGCAAAAGUCAAUGAAAUUUAUUUUGAGCUAUUUACAUCAUUUAAUAAUUGAGCAAGGUAUACUCCUAUGAACAAAAUUUGGAGCAUGUUUGUCUCUCUCUGCCUGGCGUCUUCAGAAUUUGGAAACUAGUUAGUCAUGGAAAUUUAUUUUGAGCUAUUUACAGCAUUUAAUAAUUGAGCAAGGUAUACUCCUAUGAACAAAAUUUGGAGCAUGUUUGUCUCUCUCUGUCUGCCUGGCAUCUACAGAAUUUGGAAACUAGUUGAUGCAAUUGGAGAAACUGGUUGUUUUACCAAGGCUUUGACUGGAAGGAUAUGCUUCCCUUUAAGAAACCAAGCUCAACUUACAGAGCUGAUAAAACCCCUUUGGGAAAACUGGCCUCAUACCUUGUCUACACAGUCCCCAUGCAGGGUUCCUAACGUGUGUCGUUCCCAGAUUUCCUAAACUUUCCAGAGAAAAUGGUCUUCUCCCUGGCUCAGCAAGAAGAUGAACUUUAAACACUGAGAAACUGGUCAUCUCCCUGGCUCAACCAGAAGAUGAACUUUAAACACUACUCUCAAUGACUUGAUGUUCCCAUCACUACUCCUGUCAUAAAGGGAGGGGACUCAGAUAUUGAGAAUUUUAUGAUAGUGUGAACUGUCUGGUAUGUCAUUUAAGUAAGCCCGUUGCUGAAAUAUUUUCCAUGUUAUUAGAAAGAGCUGAAGAGAGGGAUUGAGAUGGCUUCUUUAUUUUUUGUCUUUUGGGAAUUAAAGGAACCUGGUUCAACAAGGGCCUACACCUAAGUCUCUUGUUGUACCAGAGUACAAUUUAGGACUGCUCCUGAGGAAGGAAUUAGCUAGAAAUCUAGAGAGUAAGGGUAACAGAUUUACAUAGAAUAACAGCCUCAGUAUUUUUGGUUCCUCUCCAGUAAAGAUCACAAAGAAUAUUGCUAAAUCGCUAAAACACCUUUGCAAUAACGUAAGGGCUUACAACUAUAUACCAAUGUAGCUCAGUUACUAAACUGGAGUAAACUAAUUUCUCUUGUGUAGAAAAAUUGGUUGGCUGUGGUUUUAUAGCAGAUCUGCAAUUAUUAAUAGUUAUGCCAAUAAUCGUUUAACAGUGCAUAUGUUAAUAUAUAUGGAAAGACAAUGUGUAUAGACAGAUGUGUAAAAUUGAAAAAUAAACAUAUAACAAGAGAGAAACAUCUAUCGAACAGACAAUAUACAUACACAUCAAACACAACAGCAGUUUUAGUGACCAUAAUAUUUAUUUCUCAUUUUUACAUUGCUUACUUUAGUGACAACUGAAAAUGACAGUUGGCAAUGCAGCUAACAGUUUCAAUAAA
Long non-coding RNA from Homo sapiens (human), 1660 nucleotides. Ensembl annotates it as long intergenic non-protein coding RNA 320. Lineage: Eukaryota; Metazoa; Chordata; Mammalia; Primates; Hominidae. The record is from Ensembl.